GAUGAACGCUGGCGGCGUGCCUAAUACAUGCAAGUCGAGCGAACGGACGAGAAGCUUGCUUCUCUGAUGUUAGCGGCGGACGGGUGAGUAACACGUGGAUAACCUACCUAUAAGACUGGGAUAACUUCGGGAAACCGUAGCUAAUACCGGAUAAUAUUUUGAACCGCAUGGUUCAAAAGUGAAAGACGGUCUUGCUGUCACUUAUAGAUGGAUCCGCGCUGCAUUAGCUAGUUGGUAAGGUAACGGCUUACCAAGGCAACGAUGCAUAGCCGACCUGAGAGGGGGGUGGCCACAACUGGAAUGGAGACCCGGCCAAGCCUCACAGGGGGGACAGAAUGGGGAAUCUUUCCGAAAGGGGAAAAGGCCAGACGGAGCAGCGCCGUGGGGGGAAUAAGGGUCUUGGGAUCGAAAAACUUUUUUAUGGGGAAAAAAAAGAUGUAUAAGAAUCUGUGCACUUCUGGGGGUUACCUAAUAAGAAGGCCAGGGCUAAUCGCGGC
Molecule: ribosomal RNA, 497 nt
Filed under: uncultured bacterium
Lineage: Bacteria
Description: partial 16S ribosomal RNA
Rfam family: Bacterial small subunit ribosomal RNA
Source: RNAcentral